Molecule: long non-coding RNA, 1279 nt
Organism: Pseudophryne corroboree (corroboree frog)
Lineage: Eukaryota; Metazoa; Chordata; Amphibia; Anura; Myobatrachidae
Exons: 4
Source: RefSeq, a predicted model, not a curated record
GGCAAAAAGCCGGACAAACUUUGUCCGGCUUUUUGCCAUCCUGGAGAAACCGGCAGAGUCUGUCACACAGGACGGCUUUGAGCCGUGUGUGAUGCUGUGCGCAUGCGCAGCAUCAGACACGGCUUGAGAAAAAAACGUUGUGUGUGAAAGCUCCCCUUCACACACACGGUUUACUGGCUGCAAAGACGGCCAGGCGCCCGCCCGGCAGCCGGACCUUCCAGUGGUGAGACCCGGCUGCAACUCGGCAGCCGGGCCGGGACCGUGCCGUGUGUAAGGACACAUUGCGCUGCAUGUGUCUUUACAUCACGGCAGCGGUUUAAAGCCGGCCGGGUGUUUGCCGGGCGGCGCCAGCCGCCUCGUGUGUUUUCGGCCCUGACAGGGGCAGCGGCAGCCGGCAGCAGCAGAGUAGCAAAGCAGGGAGAUCGCCUCCCUGCUUUGCAGACUCUGAGCGGGUAGCGCCGGACCUGGGCGCCUCUCUCAUGUUUGGGGGGAGCGAGCUGCCCCCUUGCCCCCCCUAUUCCGACGCCCCUGCCCAGAAAGGAGCUUUUGUGUCCAUCUAAGAAAAGCAAUGAAAACAUUGUACCCUGGGCUUCCGAUUUCACUACGGCUAGUCCUAUAGUGAGACGAGCAACCCAGGCCUUAUGGCCCAUUGUGAAAUCUGACCCGGAUCUUCCUUGCUUUAGUGAGUUAAGACCAGUCACCGCUUUUGGGAGAGGCCGUAACCUACGGGACAGAUUGGUCCGAGCAGACAUUACAGGUUUUCCUUUCCUUCAGCGACUAUAACAGCCUCCCGUUUACUGGUCCCCAGUGUGCGCCCCGGUGAAACGCAGAAGUGGGGCCGUGUGGAACACAGUCAGUGCGGUCCCUAUGGUUACCAAGCUCGCGGAACCGGAAGUGCGAAGGGGAGACCAGCGGCGCAGAGUGUGUCUGAUUGCUCGCUUCAGGACAGGUUUGGGUAUCCCUCUGAGAUGGCUGCAGGUGGAUCAGUUUGUGUAAUUAACUAGGUGUGAACAGCAGCGUUGAGUACUACUUGAGUGUAAAAGCUUAACUGUUUGGAGUCCAGUCCAAUCCACCACCUACACCACACUGUCUCCCCUGUGGACCCUAUGGACCUCGAAGAAAGAGAGUUAACCAAGGUUUGGUGUCCGUUACAGGAAUUCAGAAGCCAGAGAUGUGGAUAAUUGUGGUGGUGUCAGCUUAACAUAGCUUUCCACAUGUGGUGUUGGCAUCUCAAUAGUGGUCUGGCAGGCCAAUGCAGCUGAAGGUCCUAUUUUAUAUU